UGCGCCGUUUACCCCAUCUCUUUGCACUUUCUCUUGCAAUUUCUUCCAUUCCUCUUGCUUUCAGAAAAACCUUACUUGCCUGCAAUCAAAACCAAAGCUUAUCCAUCCAAUCUGAAAUCAUCCAUUAGUUCUCUCAGGUUUCGUAUUGCAGCUCCAUAUUCUGAAACCUGCAAAUCUCAACAUAUAUCUGCCUUCAUUUCUUCACAGACCCAAGCCCAACUCACCUAUUUCAGCUGUCUCGGUUUGCCGACGCACAAAGGUAAGAUGCAUCGUUUAAUACCCUGAAAAUUUUAAAUAUAUGAAUAUGUGGAGAAAAUAAAAAAUAAAUCGAUUUAUGAUUAUGAAGAAUUAAAUCGAGAAUAUUAUUGAGCUUUUAUAUGAUUUUUCAAGAAUUUAUAAUAAUUUGUGUAAGUUUAGUUUUAAAUUAAACUAGUUACGAGGUUUAAAGUUUGGACCUUAAUUAUUUAAAAUACGUAGACCUUUCGAGGUCAAAAAUUAUAUUUUUGAAUAGAGCUCGACCUUACGAACGCGUAGGUGCAAACCGUUCGUAAAACGGAGUUAGAAUGAAGAAGUUAUUAACGUUUAAAGUUGGGGGCAUUUUAGUAAAAUAGUUGAGUUCAAGAUAACUCCAGAUUUUUGAAGAAAAAUCUGGAAGGCCACGUGUGUGGCCGAGAUUUAAAGACAGAAAAGAUGGGCAGUGGAGAUGGAUUAUAGAGAGAAAGGAAGGAGGAGAAAAUGAGGAGAGAGGAGGAUGACCAAUGGGUGAAGAGAGAAAGGAGGGAAAGGAGAGAAUGAGAAUGGAGAGGAACCUGCCGGGUUUCCUUGUCCCGCGGACCCGGUUGCAACCCAUAGGGUUCUCCGAUGAAAUUCAUCCUUUUUCCGAUGGAUUGGGCCGAUAUAACCCUCUAAAUCAUCAUAUAUACCUUCCCUCUACCAUCUCCAUAGCAAAUUUGAGACGAUUGGGUUCAGAAUUUUGGAAGAAAGGAACUCGUGGGUAUCGUAUGACCCGUGGUCGAAAUCCAGCAAAUCAGAAACGGUUUCAUUAAAUUAACACCACCAUUAGACUCUCCAUGAACCAAGAAACAAAUCUCAUUCAUUGGUUGGGUCGUCGGAGUUGCUAUGGAGUCGAAUUGAGGACACCCAAAUUCUAAGGUUCCGACAGGUUUUGAUGAAAUUGGAGCCUUUCCAGGAAACAUUGGCCUUGGUUGCAGCAUACAAACACAGAAAAAAAUGGGGCCGUACUGAUCGUCGCCGGCCGUGGCGGUUCUCCUCCUCAUGAUCUUCAUUGUCUCAUCGGCCCUCGACAUGUCCAUCAUCUCAUACGAUAACAACCUCGGAGACAGCAAGUCCAUAGGUAGCUGGAGGACCGACGAUGAGGUGAUGUUGAUUUACGAGGGGUGGCUGGCGGAGCAUGGCAAGGCAUACAACGCCCUGGGAGAGAAGGAGCGGUAGUUCCAGAUCUUUAAAGACAACCUCAGGUAUAUCGACGAACAGAACUCCAAGAACCUCAAGGAUCAGGAGGCGUCGGAGGCGCGACGGAGAGUGAUGGAGGUGGAGAUUGCGGUGAGGCGGUGUAGGUGGAGAUUGCAGAAAAAAAAUUAAAAAAGCCCACGACGUCACGCUGGCGUCAUACGGGCCGGCUCACGCCUCUGUCGAUUUUAGGCUGGCCUGGAGACUAGCUUGGGCUGGGUGCCGGUCAAAAUGCUGGGCUGGAGUGGUUUCACUGGGUGCCGGGCUAGUAUUUUGGCUGGGUGCUGGCCUUUCUCACCCCCGGUGGACUUGCUCUUAGAUGCAGCCAUAAAAUAAAUGUGUUUAAAUAUUCGAGAAUUAGUAUAUAGAUGGAAAUUGAUCCAAGAGAAGAAAAAUCAAUUAGCUAUGUUCUAGGUUGGGCCUACCAUAAUUAUUUUUCGAAAUAUACAAAUAUUUCAGAGCAGGGGCGUUACACAUCGAUCUCGUUUCCUUAUUAAUUUCUUAAUUCUAGCACAAAUGCAAUAGUGAAAUCCGAGCCUAGUAUGUGAGCUUAUGUUGUAGACAACGACCAGAGAUGAUGGCGAACACAAGGAACGAUAGCAAUGUCAAACUUUAGAUCUGCAAGAAAAAUGAGCAGCGGCAACCACGAUGUCCACAAAUCUCAUAAAUAUAUGUAUAAAUGCUCAACCCAGAAUGAGCAUGGUCUCUGCAUCCAUAUAUCUGAUAGUCUCCAUUACGCUCAUGUAUUUUGAGGAAGAUGAAGUUGUUUGUGAGUAGCAAGUCUGGGAUGAGGUGCAAGUUUUUUGAGGAAGAUGAAGUUGUCAACAAAUGUUUGUUGUUUCUUUUACUUUAUUUUUCAGAUUUGGUUUGGCCUGGUGUAAACAUUCAAGUAAAUUCAAUGUAUUCAAGUAAAUUUAAAAUAAUAAUGGAUGAAGAAUGGAUUUGUCAA
Non-coding RNA from Malus domestica (apple), 2419 nucleotides. The record is from RefSeq and is a predicted model, not a curated record. NCBI's taxonomy places the organism in Eukaryota, Viridiplantae, Streptophyta, Magnoliopsida, Rosales, Rosaceae.